This is a long non-coding RNA of Ahaetulla prasina, 1627 nucleotides long. RefSeq lists it as uncharacterized. The record is from RefSeq and is a predicted model, not a curated record. NCBI's taxonomy places the organism in Eukaryota, Metazoa, Chordata, Lepidosauria, Squamata, Colubridae. The transcript is spliced from 3 exons.
CAAAUCUUUCAUUUGAUCCAAGGACAGGUACAGCACAGGAAAUUGCGGUGCAAAUUUUCCCUUGCACAUUCAGCGGCCAAAAUCUUUCAACCCAGCCCUGAAAAGAACAUUUCAGCGAUUUAGAAAUAAGGAGCAUCCCACACCCAGGAGAGAGAAAUAGAAAUGUACAAGCAAUAAAAAAAACUGCAGAUGAAAGGCAGGCCCAGCUGCUAAACCGCAAAAGGUUUGAAAAGAAUUACAUUCAUCAACAAGGUUUGGACCAGGCCUGAAUUUCAAGUACACAAGCAAAGGAUAAGGCUGCCAAUGUAAGUGGGACAAAAUGUGAUCGGAUGCAGAAGACUAAAAGGCUUCUGUCCCUUUACCAGUUAGACAGAAAGAGGAUUUUGGCAGGUGCAGUUUGACACGUUAGCCUGGAAGGCAGAAGUAAGAAGAGCAGUAAGUGCCAAGCUUUCUCUUUUGCACAAAGUUUGAGAGGGGAAAAAAAUGAACCAUUCAUUUCUCCAGUUCCUCUGUCCAAAAAUUUGAUGGAGAAAAGGAGAUCGGUGCCAGUUUCUUUUGCAUCGUCCCUCACUACUGGAUUCCAUCCCUUUUGCCGUAUAUUUCUUCCAGAAGAGUUGGAUGCUGCUACCAUGGGAUGAUGGGAAGGCACUGUUGUUAAAUGAUUCGGUCACUGUGUUAUUACUCAUGUAGUAUGAAAUGGUCUAGAUUUGCUUUGAUUAAUUGAGCCAGAUUUUUGGAGAUUACCUGAUUUGUUUUUCUAAAGCAAAAAAGAUGAUCCGAUUGGCCUCAAUAAAGGAUUCUCUGUGACUUUGAAUCAUUUUGAAACUGUGCUGCAGGACAAAGCUCACUUCAAUCCUCCUUUAGCAUUUCCCAAAGCUUCAAGAACUGGGCAAUUUUGGAUUACUUGCAAUUCACCCUGCAAGUGUGAACCAUCAAACCUGGAAUACUUUGGCAGGUGCCAAGAGGCUUUAAGUUGGUUAGCUUCAGAAUGUGCAGGGGAAAUGCCUGCAUUAUGCAAAGGAAUUUCCCACCUGGAAGAUUUUUUAGAAGCAUAAAGAAUGUGCCACUCAACGACUUUCUCCCAAUCGCUUGCCAAAACUGAGAACCUACACUGCUCAUCCAUCUUUUGCAAGUGGUCAGAAUGAGGAUCCAGGCUGAGCAGCUUUAGUACAUUCUCUCUGAGACCGCUUGCAGCAUUCACUGUAGCUGUCCAACCAGGCCAUCUUGGACACACAAUGCCACAACUGCCCAGUCCGAAAUGCUCAGCCUUCUCCUACAAAAUUUGAAGAAACCUCCUCUCAGAGUUCUUCUGUAGUGAAGUGCUCCAAACCCAAGCAAAGUCUGGUAAUCACUUCACUUCACCUCUUCUGAAAGACCUUCCAUGGUCUUUCGGAUAUAAGAAUAGGAAUGUUAUUUCCUGAAGUAGUUUUGAGGGGGUUCCUAGAACUUAAUAACAAUUUGAUGUUAUUUUAUUUAAAAAUAGCCAACAUCAGACAGAAACUAGAUUUUUAUACUAAACAAUACUCCUGAUAGAGAAAUAUGGAUUUAAUGAAUUGCAUGACAAGGUAGGCAAAGAUUAAAUGGCACAGAUUGGAGCUGAAGAAGCUUCUUAGAUGAGAAGCGAAAU